RNAcentral lists this long non-coding RNA (298 nucleotides) under Olea europaea (common olive). RNAcentral's name for it is "long non-coding RNA (OEUR_LNC006857)". Lineage: Eukaryota; Viridiplantae; Streptophyta; Magnoliopsida; Lamiales; Oleaceae. The record is from RNAcentral.
CAGUGGUGCAAAGGAUAGGAGUGAGGUUAUUUUAUGCGUCGUUGGCAGCCGCAGCGUGGGGGUUUGAUUCCUGAGAUAUGCAAUUGGACUUUUUGUAUGCACAGUGUACAGACAGCUCUUGUUCUCUGACUUGUUGGGCACAUUCCGCGAUUUACCUCCUUUACAAAGCUCUAAGAGCAGGGCGAUGGGAGCCCUCAAAAUUGGGGUUCAACCUUUUUAUUUUUAUUUUUAUUUUGAGAAGACGACGUAACUAUGUCAAUUGUUCCCAACUUUUGGGCUUAAACAGAAGCGAUUCUGG